GGUUGUAGCUCAGUGGUAGAGCGCUUGCCUCGCAAAAGUGAGGUCCUGGGUUUGAUCCUCAGCACCA
This 67-nucleotide transfer RNA is filed under the name Marmota monax (woodchuck). RNAcentral's name for it is "tRNA.Ala". Lineage: Eukaryota; Metazoa; Chordata; Mammalia; Rodentia; Sciuridae. The record is from RNAcentral.